AGCGGAGUAGAGCAGCGGCAGCUCAGCGGCCUCAUAAGCCGUGUGUCGAGGGUUCGAGUCCCUCCUCCGCCA
This 72-nucleotide transfer RNA is filed under the name Caudoviricetes sp. RNAcentral describes it as "tRNA-Met". It matches the Rfam family "tRNA". From Rfam's summary of the family: Transfer RNA (tRNA) molecules are approximately 80 nucleotides in length. Their secondary structure includes four short double-helical elements and three loops (D, anti-codon, and T loops). Further hydrogen bonds mediate the characteristic L-shaped molecular structure. tRNAs have two regions of fundamental functional importance: the anti-codon, which is responsible for specific mRNA codon recognition, and the 3' end, to which the tRNAs corresponding amino acid is attached (by aminoacyl-tRNA synthetases). tRNAs cope with the degeneracy of the genetic code in two manners: having more than one tRNA (with a specific anti-codon) for a particular amino acid; and 'wobble' base-pairing, i.e. permitting non-standard base-pairing at the 3rd anti-codon position. Lineage: Duplodnaviria; Heunggongvirae; Uroviricota; Caudoviricetes. The record is from RNAcentral.